This 396-nucleotide ribosomal RNA is filed under the name uncultured bacterium. RNAcentral's name for it is "bacterial SSU rRNA". It matches the Rfam family "Bacterial small subunit ribosomal RNA", at positions 30 to 407 of the family's 1533-position model. The record is from RNAcentral.
AGUGAACGCUGGCGGCAGGCCUAACACAUGCAAGUCGAGCGGCAGCGGGUCCCCGCGAGGGGAUGCCGGCGAGCGGCGGACGGGUGAGGAACACAUCGGAAUCUGCCUGGUUGUGGGGGGAUAACGUAGGGAAACUUACGCUAAUACCGCAUGCGACCCUGAGUCGACGGACUGGGGGUGAAAGUGAGGGACCUUCGGGCCUCACGCGACCAGAUGAGCCGAUGUCGGAUUAGCUAGUUGGCGGGGUAACGGCCCGCCAAGGCGACGAUCCGUAGCUGGUCUGAGAGGAUGAUCAGCCACACUGGGACUGAGACACGGCCCAGACUCCUACGGGAGGCAGCAGUGGGGAAUCUUGGACAAUGGGCGCAAGCCUGAUCCAGCCAUGCCGCGUGGGUG